Molecule: small RNA, 610 nt
Filed under: Histoplasma capsulatum var. duboisii H88
Lineage: Eukaryota; Fungi; Ascomycota; Eurotiomycetes; Onygenales; Ajellomycetaceae
Description: Histoplasma capsulatum H88 hypothetical RNA
Source: RNAcentral
GCCCCACACACAGGGGAGAAACCAGUGUCUCCGUGUCUCUCUCAGUGUCUCUCUCCUCGUGUCUCUUCCCUCGAGUUGCAGCUGCCAGCCAUUGUUUGAUAUGGAAAUCGUUCAGUUCGCUGGAAACUUUCAACGGGAAGCAGAACGGGCCGCAGAGUUACCACACGAUGCGAAGGGUUAAUUAAUGCGCUGACUCAUCUGUUUAUUUACUCUUGGGGAAAAGAUUUCUUGAUACAACUAGAUCAUAUACUACUCAUAUACAAGGAAGGUCAUUCAUGGUUCCCAUCAUUGGGAAGAGAGAGGCGAAAAGAAAAAGGAAACGAAAAGAAGCGCCAUAAGCCGCUUUUGUCAAACCAGCUGUCAACCCAAAAUGGAAAAAGCAGAUGCAACAGCAACAAACCUAAAAAAAUUAUAUAAAGUAAACCCAUAAUAUAGAAAGAAGAAAACAAUUUGCGGGAAAAAAAAGAAAAGAAAAAAAGAGAAAGUAAGAAAGCAAGAAAUGAAGAAAAAUUCCAACAGGGCGAAUUUAAACAACCAUUCCCGCAACCGCAACCACAACCCCGGCUACAAUAUCAUACACCAACCCUUUCCCUCUCGCCGCAACAACCCC